AAACCAUGGUGAGGGCAGUGUAUAAACAAGUCAUUGUACCGAUCCCAACAUUCAUAGAAUGGUUCACCUUCAUUUUUGAGCAAAGUUAUAGAUCUCCCUCUUCAAAGCAU
This is a small nucleolar RNA of Tripterygium wilfordii, 110 nucleotides long. The record is from RefSeq and is a predicted model, not a curated record. Lineage: Eukaryota; Viridiplantae; Streptophyta; Magnoliopsida; Celastrales; Celastraceae.